GAAAUGCGAUAAGUAAUGUGAAUUGCAGAAUUCCGUGAAUCAUCGAAUCUUUGAACGCACAUUGCGCUCCUUGGUAUUCCUUGGAGCAUGCCUGUUUGAGUAUCAUGAAAUCUUCAAAGUAAAUCUUUUGUUAACUCAAUUGGUUUCUACUUUGGUAUUGGAGGUCUUUGCAGCUUCACACCUGCUCCUCUUUGUUCAUUAGCUGGAUCUCAGUGUUAUGCUUGGUUCCACUCGGCGUGAUAAGUUAUCUAUCGCUGAGGACACUGUAAAGGGUGGCCAAGGUAAAUGCAGAUGAACCGCUUCUAAUAGUCCAUUGACUUGGACAAUACUUUUAUGAUCUGAUCUCAAAUCAGGUAGGACUACCCGCUGAACUUAAGC
RNAcentral lists this unclassified non-coding RNA (378 nucleotides) under plant metagenome. RNAcentral's name for it is "partial contains 5.8S ribosomal RNA, internal transcribed spacer 2, and large subunit ribosomal RNA". The stretch from base 1 to 105 matches the Rfam family "5.8S ribosomal RNA", at positions 50 to 154 of the family's 154-position model. The record is from RNAcentral.